This 403-nucleotide ribosomal RNA is filed under the name uncultured bacterium. Its description in RNAcentral is "bacterial SSU rRNA". It matches the Rfam family "Bacterial small subunit ribosomal RNA", at positions 355 to 775 of the family's 1533-position model. The record is from RNAcentral.
UAGGGAAUAUUAGUAAUGGGCGAAAGCCUGAACUAGCAACGCCGCGUGUGCGAAGAAGGCCUUCGGGUUGUAAAGCACUUUUUGAGAGGAUGAGGAAGGACGGUACUCUCAGAAUAAGUCUCGGCUAACUACGUGCCAGCAGCCGCGGUAACACGUAGGAGGCGAACGUUAUCCGGAUUUACUGGGCGUAGGGCGCGUGUAGGUGGUUUGGUAAGUAGGGCGUGAAAGCUCCUGGCUCAACUGGGAGAGGCCGUUCUAAACUGCCGAACUAGAGGAUGGUAGAGGGAGGUGGAAUUCCGGGUGUAGCGGUGGAAUGCGCAGAUAUCCGGAGGAACACCAGUGGCGAAAGCGGCCUCCUGGACCACUCCUGACACUCAGACGCGAAAGCUAGGGUAGCAAACGG